This 425-nucleotide ribosomal RNA is filed under the name uncultured bacterium. RNAcentral's name for it is "bacterial SSU rRNA". It matches the Rfam family "Bacterial small subunit ribosomal RNA", at positions 354 to 796 of the family's 1533-position model. The record is from RNAcentral.
GUAGGGAAUUUUCGGCAAUGGGCGCAAGCCUGACCGAGCAACGCCGCGUGAGGGAAGAAGGUCUUCGGAUCGUAAACCUUUGUCUUUGGGGACGAUAAUGACGGUACCCAAGGAGGAAGCCACGGCUAACUACGUGCCAGCAGCCGCGGUAAUACGUAGGUGGCAAGCGUUGUCCGGAAUUACUGGGCGUAAAGGGCGUGUAGGCGGUAGAUUAAGUCAGACGUGAAAACUCAGGGCUCAACCUUGAGAUUGCGUUUGAAACUGAUAGACUAGAGGAUCGGAGAGGGCAGUGGAAUUCCCAGUGUAGCGGUGAAAUGCGUAGAUAUUGGGAGGAACACCAGUGGCGAAGGCGACUGCCUGGACGACACCUGACGCUGAGGCGCGAAAGCCAGGGGAGCAAACGGGAUUAGAAACCCCAGUAGUCC